This 253-nucleotide ribosomal RNA is filed under the name uncultured bacterium. Its description in RNAcentral is "partial 16S ribosomal RNA". It matches the Rfam family "Bacterial small subunit ribosomal RNA", at positions 524 to 776 of the family's 1533-position model. The record is from RNAcentral.
UACGUAGGGGGCAAGCGUUGUCCGGAAUUACUGGGCGUAAAGCGCACGCAGGCGGUUCGCCAAGUUUGGAGUGACAGUUGUCGGCUCAACCGACAAAGGACUUCAAAAACUGGUGAACUUGAGGACGAGAGAGGAACAUGGAACUCCAGGUGUAGUAGUGAAAUGCGUAGAUAUCUGGAAGAACACCAAUGGCGAAGGCAAUGUUCUGGCUCGUUUCUGACGCUCAGGUGCGAAAGCCAGGGGAGCGAACGGG